UACAGAGGUCCCAAGCGUUGUUCGGAUUCAUUGGGCGUAAAGGGUGUGUAGGUGGCGCCGUAAGUCGGGUGUGAAAUUUCGGAGCUUAACUCCGAAACUGCAUUCGAUACUGCGGUGCUUGAGGACUGGAGAGGAGACUGGAAUUUACGGUGUAGCAGUGAAAUGCGUAGAUAUCGUAAGGAAGACCAGUGGCGAAGGCGGGUCUCUGGACAGUUCCUGACACUGAGACACGAAGGCCAGGGGAGCAAACGGG
Molecule: ribosomal RNA, 253 nt
Filed under: uncultured bacterium
Lineage: Bacteria
Description: partial 16S ribosomal RNA
Rfam family: Bacterial small subunit ribosomal RNA
Source: RNAcentral